Molecule: ribosomal RNA, 210 nt
Filed under: Clostridioides difficile
Lineage: Bacteria; Bacillati; Bacillota; Clostridia; Peptostreptococcales; Peptostreptococcaceae
Description: partial 23S ribosomal RNA
Rfam family: Bacterial large subunit ribosomal RNA
Source: RNAcentral
ACAACAGGUUGAUAUUCCUGUACUACCGAUAACCGUUUGAGAGAAGGGAUGACACAGUAGGAUAAGCUAAGCACACUGUUGGGUAUGUGUGCCCAAGCAUUGAGGCAGUCAAAGUAGGCAAAUCCGCUUUGAUAAUGCUGGGAUGUGAUGGGGAGCGAAAUUUAGUAGCGAAGUAGCUGAUUUCACACUGUCAAGAAAAGUCUCUAUCGA